This 1172-nucleotide long non-coding RNA is filed under the name Vulpes vulpes (red fox). RNAcentral describes it as "lncRNA (ENSVVUG00000015011.1)". Lineage: Eukaryota; Metazoa; Chordata; Mammalia; Carnivora; Canidae. The record is from RNAcentral.
UAAUUUUUUUAUGUUGUAGAAUUUAUCAAUCUUUUGAUUUAUAGCUUUUGUGUCAUAUUUAAAUAGGCCUCUUCUAUACCAAGAUUAUAAAACACUUCUCCCAGGUUUCUUCUAAUACUUAUAUGCUUUCAUUUUUACAAUUAAAUCUUUGAUUCAUUUGGAAUUUAUCCUGAUGUAGAAUAUGAGAUAUAGCUCUAAUGUUAUUUUUUUCUAGACAGCUACCCAAUAGCAUUUAUUGAAUAAUCCAUCUUCAGUGGUUUGAGAUGCCGCGUUGCUACCUUUUGUUAUAUUAAUAAUUAUGGCGAGCAUACUAUGAAUCAAGUGUUGUGUUAGGUACUAUGGCAAAAUGUAAAAGUGUAAUAUAGUUCUUGCAGCCAGAAAUUACUAUCUAGGUAUAGCAACAAACUCAAGGAAACAUUCAUGGAAAAAAAAUCAAAUAGUGGGUUGUAUCAAAGAAGGUUUUAUGGAGGGGCAGGCAUCAGUUCUUUCCUGACAGUUACAAAUGGAAUUAGAGAAUAGGAACACACAAAAGAGAAAUAGGGGGAGAAAAGAAACGGAAAAUACCUCCUUAUACUCAUUAUCCAAAGGUUAUCCUAAGUUACAGGGAGACUGCAUGUUGAUUAGCAAAUAUUAAAUGAGUGAGGUAUGAAGUACACAAUAAGCAGAGUGAAGUAGAGUGCCAUUUAUCAAACACCGGCCAGGUGGUCCUUUGCUUGUUUGGCGUUCUUUUCUCUCUUCCUUUUCUCUGCCUUUCUUUGCAAUGUGCAUUCAUGCAAUGGGAAAUGACACCAAAGCUACUGGAAUAUGCAACGGGAAUGCUAACAGCUACCAUGAAGGACUGUCCAGGAUGCAUUCGCAUUGGUCUAUUUAUCUGUCUCCUGAGGAUCUACCUCUUAUGAAAAAUUGACAAUUUACCUUGUGAAAGAAAGGAGUAUGGGAAUAGGAAGGGACCCUGUAUCUUUAAACAUAUUUCAACAAGAAGUCAUUCUGUUUACCUGAUACCAAUGUUUUCCAUAUAUUUUUAUAAUUUCACUCAUUUUCCUUAUUCCUAACAUUCUGACCAUAAGUAAAAGCUAAGCUACUUCUGGUCCAGUUACAUUCCUUUGUUUUUUAUCUUUAAAUAUGUUGUAAGUAUUAACAUAAUCAAUAAAACAUAAUAAAAAGGAUUGACA